RNAcentral lists this ribosomal RNA (473 nucleotides) under uncultured bacterium. RNAcentral describes it as "bacterial SSU rRNA". It matches the Rfam family "Bacterial small subunit ribosomal RNA", at positions 355 to 825 of the family's 1533-position model. The record is from RNAcentral.
UGGGGAAUAUUGCGCAAUGGGCGAAAGCCAGACGCAGCAACGCCGCGUGAGUGAUGAAGGCCUUCGGGUCGUAAAGCUCUGUCGGAGGGAACGAAUGCUCCUGAAGUUAACAGCCUCAGGAGGUGACGGUACCCUCAAAGGAAGCACCGGCUAACUCUGUGCCAGCAGCCGCGGUAAUACAGAGGGUGCAAGCGUUAAUCGGAAUUACUGGGCGUAAAGCGUGCGCAGGCGGUUGUGUAAGUCAGAUGUGAAAUCCCCGGGCUCAACCGGGGAAUUGCAUUUGAGACUGCACGGCUAGAGUGUGUCAGAGGGGGGUAGAAUUCCACGUGUAGCAGUGAAAUGCGUAGAUAUGUGGAGGAACACCGAUGGCGAAGGCAGCCCCCUGGGUUAACACUGACGCUCAUGCACGAAAGCGUGGGGAGCAAACAGGAUUAGAUACCCAAGUAGUCCCUGAGCGGGCUGGCAAGGCGCAU